CCAAUAACCGGGUCUACCUGCUAUAAAUGUAAAAUUUAAGUGGCCCAAUUACCGUAUACCUUUUUGGUAUAAGGUUCAUUGUGGCCCGAUUCCCGAACGUCUAUUAUUUUAUCUCUUACUUUAUUUUGGAAACACGUGGUCUAUACGUAAAUCUAUUUUAAAUAAUAUAACGUGUGACUAGUUAUAUUUCUCGAUUUCAUAUGAUUGUCAUAGAUUAUAAAGAAUGGGUAGACACCUUCUAUAACAAUCGUUUUUAAAGGUGAUGGUCUUGGACGGGCGGAAAACUGAGGCGAUUUAUCAGUAAUCACAAGAGAUGAAAAGCUACAGGAGAAAAAAAACGUCUCAUUUUAUGAGACAAUCUCGGAACACUGGUA
Molecule: non-coding RNA, 374 nt
Organism: Cinara cedri
Lineage: Eukaryota; Metazoa; Arthropoda; Insecta; Hemiptera; Aphididae
Source: the annotation of a GenBank genome assembly